GCGAGUUGCAAGACUCCCAAACCAUUGUGAACCUACCUGUACCGUUCCUUCGGCGGGCGGCCCACGCCCUAACCACGCCGCCCCUCGCGGGCUGGCGGACCCGCCGGAGGCCCCUAAACCCUUAGCUUCUUUGGCACCUCUGAGUACACUUUUAAUAAGUCA
Molecule: unclassified non-coding RNA, 162 nt
Filed under: uncultured Ascomycota
Lineage: Eukaryota; Fungi; Ascomycota
Description: sequence contains ITS1
Source: RNAcentral